CGCGUAGGUAACCUGCCUGGUAGCGGGGGAUAACUAUUGGAAACGAUAGCUAAUACCGCAUAAUAGUAGAUGUUGCAUGACAUUUGCUUAAAAGGUGCAAUUGCACCACUACCAGAUGGACCUGCGUUGUAUUAGCUAGUUGGUGGGGUAACGGCUCACCAAGGCGACGAUACAUAGCCGACCUGAGAGGGUGAUCGGCCACACUGGGACUGAGACACGGCCCAG
RNAcentral lists this ribosomal RNA (225 nucleotides) under uncultured bacterium. RNAcentral's name for it is "partial 16S ribosomal RNA". It matches the Rfam family "Bacterial small subunit ribosomal RNA", at positions 114 to 334 of the family's 1533-position model. The record is from RNAcentral.